Molecule: transfer RNA, 80 nt
Filed under: Cladophialophora carrionii
Lineage: Eukaryota; Fungi; Ascomycota; Eurotiomycetes; Chaetothyriales; Herpotrichiellaceae
Description: tRNA-Arg
Rfam family: tRNA (bases 5-74)
About the family: Transfer RNA (tRNA) molecules are approximately 80 nucleotides in length. Their secondary structure includes four short double-helical elements and three loops (D, anti-codon, and T loops). Further hydrogen bonds mediate the characteristic L-shaped molecular structure. tRNAs have two regions of fundamental functional importance: the anti-codon, which is responsible for specific mRNA codon recognition, and the 3' end, to which the tRNAs corresponding amino acid is attached (by aminoacyl-tRNA synthetases). tRNAs cope with the degeneracy of the genetic code in two manners: having more than one tRNA (with a specific anti-codon) for a particular amino acid; and 'wobble' base-pairing, i.e. permitting non-standard base-pairing at the 3rd anti-codon position.
Source: RNAcentral
UCUAGUGGCCUAAUGGUUAAGGCGCUGGUUUUCGGUACAGAAAAACACCAGAGAUUAGGAGUUCGAAUCUUCUCGUGGUC